GCCACUAUAGCUCAGUAGGUAGAGCGCAUCCUUGGUAAGGAUGAGGUCAUCGGUUCAAUCCCGAUUAGUGGCUCCA
This 76-nucleotide transfer RNA is filed under the name Pelotomaculum terephthalicicum JT. RNAcentral describes it as "tRNA-Thr". It matches the Rfam family "tRNA". From Rfam's summary of the family: Transfer RNA (tRNA) molecules are approximately 80 nucleotides in length. Their secondary structure includes four short double-helical elements and three loops (D, anti-codon, and T loops). RNAcentral also lists the same sequence under 1 other name. Lineage: Bacteria; Bacillati; Bacillota; Clostridia; Eubacteriales; Desulfotomaculaceae. The record is from RNAcentral.